GAUCGGCUCAGUAGGUAGAGCAUCCCGAUUUAUCGGGAGUGGUCCUGGGUUCGAUCCCCAGGCGAAUCA
This 69-nucleotide transfer RNA is filed under the name Bacteroidales bacterium. RNAcentral describes it as "tRNA-OTHER". Lineage: Bacteria; Pseudomonadati; Bacteroidota; Bacteroidia; Bacteroidales. The record is from RNAcentral.